AUGCGCUGUUCUGAUGUACUGUGGAGCAAGGAACCGCUGCCCAGGGCUUCAUCUCCACCCCCAGCGGUGAAGCUCAGUCCACGCUCCAGAUGUGGAUCCAGCGGAAGGAGAGAUUUGCACACGUAGCAACGAUGUAGAGAGAAGAUGCAGACUCUGCAGAUGGAGGGAGAGGGGUCGAAACAUUGGCCAGAAUCCGUGUACAGAGAGAACCUACAGCCGAAUCUGCGGGGGAGGGGGAGAGACCGCACCACCUCUCCUCCCACGUCUGUCACAUUCAGUCCACAUAUUACUCCCCAUAACUACAACCCUCAUCUAUUUCUUUCCCGGUUUAGGGUGAGCAAAUUGCUCCUAGUUUCCGAUUUCUGGCUGACUUGUGGCAUCGGAGGGCUCGGCUCUGGACAGUGACCACGUUCCUUUGUCUGUUUGAUGUCUGCAUGUAGACAUACAGCCUGGCUGGCGAUCUACAGGGCUCGUCUGCACAUAACUCUGACUGCGUGUGGUUUCAUGGCAUGGGCUAUUACUUCUCGAAGGAGGCCAUGAGCUGGAUGUCCAGUAGGAAGUUCUGCGAGGAGCAGGGGGCCAGCCUGGCCCUCAUCAGGGACGCUCAUAUAAAGGAUUCGGUGAGGCUGCCGUUUGCUUAUGAUCAGCAGGAGCCGCUGGAGGACAUGACAGAUCCUUUCUGAGUCCCUGAGCAGUCGUGGUUUAUGGAUUUCGGUCCAUUGCAGGACGACUUGAAACACUUCAUGCAGGACAGCGAGGGCCAGUGGUGUGGACAGGCUCUGGUAGACGGAGAGUUAAAGUGGCUAGACGAGAUGGCUGAUGAGAGCUGCUACUUGACCUGAGAAGAUGCUGGAGAGUAUGUAGGGGCGCUACUUCACCUUCUGCUGGUGGAAGGACCUAUAAACUGGGUGCUCAUAUUAUAUUAUAGCAGGACGGAGGUCGGCGACAUGUUCCUCUCCGCACAAUCCAGAAGAUGGGUGGAUCCGGUGAUCUUUCUCUGUUCCCCAAUUCACAGUGCAGGACAUGGUGAUGACUUGUCUCCACGUUCCUCAGAUCUCUCCCCAAUCUGCAUCUGUGGGAUGUGCUGGAAAACAAGUCCGAUCUAUGGAGGAUGCACCUCACCACGUAUAAGACUUCACCCUUUUACUGCCAGGGCAAUUUUAACACUUUCAAUCCACUCAAGUAAAUCCUAAUACAACCGCUUCCCCGAAUACCCAACUCUUUUACAGGUUAGACACGCACUUCUGUCCACGUGCAGAUAUCAUCACCACACCUGAAGAGACCAGAAACAGCCACAAUGGGCUGGAGGGAUGACAGGAGGAUAAGGUCCUGUAUCCACCCAUGAGGUCACUAGAGGAUGUAUGGGGCGAGAUUAGUAUAAACGGCUAUAGCUGGUGAGAGGGGUGAUAGCACGAAGAGAGGUUCCUGUAGGAGAAUCCAGCCGAGACUAGAAGGAAAUCUUUCCUGACGUCAUACAUGUUCUGGGCCUAUGAUGUUAGAGCUUUCUUCAUAUGAAAGCCGAGGCUGUGAGCUUCAGUCUGACGUCACGCUCGAGCCCUCACAGCCUAGCCAUGUAUAGUCCACAUAUUAUAAUUCCCUGGCAGUGAAAGGGUUUAAAUCCCAAGACAUUAACAUGACCUGGUGUGAACGUCAGCUUCCACAUUUCAGGCAUGGAUGAUCCUGCUGAAAACCCCACCACUUGUGGUUCCUCACUGUGCCGGCCGCUGGAUGUCAGUCCCAUCACCACAUCCAUCAGUCCUCAUCCACCUCCAGAGACCAAACUAACCCUGAUCCUCGGGGAUAUAAUGGAUAUCUUUAUACGCUGCGAUACCAGUCACAUUCCUGCGUCUGGAUGGAACUAUACCGCCUGCCUCCACUGAACAGUGCUGAUAAAGGAAGGACUGACUACGAUCCUGUAAUGGAAAAACAACCAAAGCCUGAAUAAUGGGGAAUAUAAGUAGGGGGUGUCCGCUAUGUCCUAGAGCAGGAA
This is a long non-coding RNA of Bufo gargarizans (Asiatic toad), 1990 nucleotides long. RefSeq lists it as uncharacterized. Lineage: Eukaryota; Metazoa; Chordata; Amphibia; Anura; Bufonidae. The transcript is spliced from 5 exons. The record is from RefSeq and is a predicted model, not a curated record.